Molecule: ribosomal RNA, 376 nt
Filed under: Maldane sarsi antarctica
Lineage: Eukaryota; Metazoa; Annelida; Polychaeta; Maldanidae
Description: partial 16S ribosomal RNA
Rfam family: Bacterial large subunit ribosomal RNA
Source: RNAcentral
UAUCCUGACCGUGCUAAGGUAGCAUAUAAUAUACCCUUUAAUUGUGGGAUGGAAUGGACGGACAAACGAAAGUUAAGCUGUUUCUUAAAUACAAAUAUAAAUUAUUCUUCAGGUGAAGAACCCUGAAUUAAAUUAAAAGACAAGAAGACCCUGUAGAGCUUCACCUAAUAAACACAGAGAAAAAACAAAUGUAUUUUUUUCUAUGUAUAAUAAAGGUUUAACUGGGGCGGUUAGAGAAUAAUAAACUUCUACUUCAUAUUACAAGGCUAACCUGCCUAACAAUAAACAAAUACAAAUUCAAAGAACAAAGCUACCUCAGGGAUAACAGUCUAAUCUUUCCUGAGAGUACCUAUUGAAGGAAAUGUUUGGCACCUCG